Non-coding RNA from Gracilinanus agilis (Agile Gracile Mouse Opossum), 349 nucleotides. The record is from the annotation of a RefSeq genome assembly. Lineage: Eukaryota; Metazoa; Chordata; Mammalia; Didelphimorphia; Didelphidae.
AGAGCAUCCACAGCAUGGCCUGGAUUCCUCUCCUCCUCAUCCUGCUCCCUCUCUGCAAAGGGGUCACUUCUCAGGCUGUGGUGACUCAGGAGCCUUCUCUGACUGUGAUCCCAGGAGGAACCGUCACCCUGACCUGCAGCUCCAGCACAGGGGCAGUCACCACUGGGCACUAUCCCUACUGGUUCCAACAGCAUCAUGGCCAGCCUCCAAGACAACUCAUCUAUAAUACCAACAGUCUUGGAUCAGGCACUCCUGCCCGGUUCUCGGGGUUACUCCUUGGGGAUAAGGCUGCCCUCACCAUCAAGGGGGCCCAGCCUGAGGAUGAGGCUGACUAUUACUGCCUGCUGUG